ACUUAUAAGCUUAACAGACAAAUUAACCAGCCAAACUCAAUUACUCAUCACAACUUGUAAGUUUCUAUUUUAAGGUACAGGGAAUUCAAAGUAAUGCCUCAAAUCAUGUCAAUAGAAUAGUAUUUGAAACUAAAGAACUCAUUUAAGCAAAACAACACAGAACAUGAAGAUCAUCUUCAGGAAACAAAACAAUAGGCAUAGCUCACUUAACUUCAGAUUUCUAUUGUUAUCAACAAGCCAAACAAAGUCAAAGGUACAUGGUGUAGAACAAUGCUACCAGACAUGGUCAUGGGAUCUCAUGAACUCUUCAAAGGGCUUUUAAAGUCUAGAAUAUAACUUACAACCAUUUACAUGUAAUGACACAUAUACUUCCUUCCAUUAAUAUGGUCGUAGUCUUUUAGUUCGGGCGUCGCCAAGUGGACUUGCUUUUCCGAGUUAUCCAGGCUUGCGUAAGAUAACAGUCCUCGAGUGCGGAUGGUUGUGGCCUUUAAAAUUCGGGGGUUACCUAAUACGUAUUAUGCCCCCGAUGUUUGAUAGCUUGAACCAUUCAAGAUUGUUUUCGGACGACAGUCCUCGAGGGAGAGAGAGAUUGUUCGAUCUCAAGUUAAAGCGGCCCUUGGGCUCGUUACCUUUAUGGGAUCGGAAGCACAAAAUUUCUUAAGAAAUGUAAAUAAGAAAUAUUUAAAAGACAAGAUGAUUGCAAGGAAGAUACUUCUCUUUAUUCUAGUGCAAACCAGUUAUACAUGCAUACAUGCUUUAUGUUAGGGCUCGAGCAAUCUAUGCGGGCACGGUUCGUUUGAUCAUUUGGCCCUUACAAUAAAUCCUACCUAUCGAGACCCUUCCAUCACGAAGUAAUUUCCUUGCCUAAAGUCGAUAUUGGAGGGUAACGCCCCCUAGUAUUCGAGGUUGAUUAUAGGGAGAAGCCUCGGAUACUGUUGAUGCGAUCCUUAACACCGAUUCAUGGCCGGUCUUCUAUUCUAAGUUAGCACGAUCUACUGUUGCUCGUUAAAACCUUGCCGUAAAACCCAUUUGGGACAAAACCGGUUCAAGGGAAAAAGAGUGCAAUCCGUACUUUCAGACCUAAAACUUUGUACGGCUCCUUGUACGUCACCUGUAAAUGUUAGUUUGAAAUAUAAAUAAAAGGAAACGAAUGGGGUCUGUCACACCUCCUUUUUACCGGAAAAGGAUAGGGAAUUUUUCAAAUUAAAGUGACAAUAAUCGAAAUGGAAUUUUUUAUUAGAUUCAGAGUCCCCACUUGGGAUAAUUUAUGGUGUCCCAAGUCACCGAUUUAUUUUAAAUCCCAAAUCGAGAAAAUUGACUCUAUUUAUGGUCUUUGAAAAUAGAAGACCGUGUAAGAAAUUCUGUUAAUCCGGGAGAAGGUGUUAGGUAUUUUCGGGUUCCGUAGUUUUAGCACGGUCGCUUUAAUCAUACCUGGCUUAAUUAAUUUGUCUAAUUACUUAUUUUCGAACCUAUGUGCAUUUUAGCUCUUUUAAUUAAGAUAUUAUCCUAAAACGUGUCACACGUACGUGUACUCAUUCGGUUUGGCGCGUCAAGAAUCAUGUCACGCUUACGUGUAUACAAUUCACAACACUUAAUUAUUUAAGAAAAACUUGGUCAAAGUUACGCGAACGCAUAUCUUGAUUUAUUUUGGGAAAAAAAUCGAAAUUAUGUCACGCGAACGUGUACACAAUCGCGAUGAUAGAUUAAACCGCGCCUAAAUCAUUUCCUACAAAUAUUCAUUUUAAAAACGUACUCGUGUCACACGAACGUGUGCACAAUUAAUAGCAUUUUAUUACUAUUAAGAUUGUUUCGCCCAAAGUUGCGCGAACAAAUACUUCGACCUUAAUUUUGGAACCCGUAAUUAUAUCACGCAAAUGUCAAAAAUAUCCGAAAGAUUGCCUACCCAAGCGUGAUCGGCCUAAAAUAUAUUCGUAGCGAUUCAACCCAAAAGAAAGAAUAAGUAGUAAUGAAAUUAUCUUGAGUCUAAUCUCUUUUUAAUUUUAGUCCAAAAGCCCACUGCCCUCUUAAUUCCCAUUGAUUUCUAAGCCUAUUUUCUCAAUUCAACUAAUAGUUUGCUCAAUUGAAAUUAGAGCAAAUCCACAUACCCAUUUCUAGUCUUUGAAGAGAAUUUCAAACAAACCCAGCAUAAUAUUGCAAUCAGAUUCUCAUUCAAUAUACUAAUUCCAGAUGUCUAAUCAUAUAAGUACACGAAUGAAAAGAACAACAACAAAAUUUUUAUUCAAAUCCCAAACACACAAGGAAGAAUAUUGAAAAGUAAUUAGGAACAAGGUUUAGAAAUGGACCUCAAACAGAGUUGACGAACUCCGAAGCGAAACCGUGGACGAGCUGAUCUCACCAAACCGAGCUCGGACUCACCUCAACAACAUCACAGUCAAACUCCAUAUUUGGGAAUCACAGUCCAAAUCGGAAAGAAGAAACGCAGUCUAUAUUUUUUGGUUUGGAUUUAUUGGAAUUUUAAGAAGACAAAGUGUUGGAUUUGUGAAAUCUCAACGUGAGCUAAACAAAGAAUUAGAAGAAUUCAAUGUGAGCGAAACAUCUUCCAUUUCUUUUUAAGAACAUAUUUUAAAAUUUGUGAGCUCAAAGCUAUGAACCAAUAUGCACAAAUUUAUCAAUCAUUGCAGCUCAGUUAGGUCCUUCUCUUCAAGUGAUGUGUCGCUGCUUGUUGCUCUCUUUAUUUGUUAGGGAUUUUGGAAAUACAGUGAGUAAUGGAACUAAAAAAUAGGGAUUCAUUUACUAAAUUUUAACUUGGGGAAGAUAACUCAUUUUUGGGAGUGUUUCAAUUUUAAGAAUUGGUUAGGCAGAGGUCUGUGUCGCUGGUGUUUUGGGAGUUGCGGCUAGAAUGUUGAAGAGAGGUGGGGUGCGGCUGGGUUCUUUAGAAUUAGGAAGUUUGGCUGCUUUUUCAUGUCAAAAUUAGAGUGAGAACGAUGGAAAUUUUUUCAGGGGGUGGGCAGUCGUUCUUCAGUCUUAGCUCUA
This 2994-nucleotide long non-coding RNA is filed under the name Nicotiana tabacum (common tobacco). RNAcentral describes it as "long non-coding RNA (NTAB_LNC007244)". Lineage: Eukaryota; Viridiplantae; Streptophyta; Magnoliopsida; Solanales; Solanaceae. The record is from RNAcentral.